GCCGAUUGGGAGGGGGACCCUGAGGGUGGGGGCACCCUCAGGGCACUAUAGUGCCAGGAAAACGAGUAUGUUUUCCUGGCACUAUAGUGGUCCUUUAAGUGAAUGAUCAAAUCUUUAUUCAGACCAUUCGGUCAAUGGGUCCAUCCCACAUUUAGUAAAUUCCAUAAUUAAUGGGAUGAAAAUGUUAAUAAAAUGUCUUGC
Molecule: non-coding RNA, 201 nt
Organism: Pelobates cultripes (western spadefoot toad)
Lineage: Eukaryota; Metazoa; Chordata; Amphibia; Anura; Pelobatidae
Source: the annotation of a GenBank genome assembly